RNAcentral lists this non-coding RNA (249 nucleotides) under Peptacetobacter hiranonis. Its description in RNAcentral is "Clostridium hiranonis T-box sequence". It matches the Rfam family "T-box leader". From Rfam's summary of the family: Uncharged tRNA acts as the effector for transcription antitermination of genes in the T-box leader family. T-boxes are found upstream of many aminoacyl-tRNA synthetase genes and some amino acid biosynthetic genes usually in Gram-positive bacteria. The anticodon of a specific tRNA base pairs to a specifier sequence within the T-box motif, and the NCCA acceptor tail of the tRNA base pairs to a conserved bulge in the T-box antiterminator hairpin. The record is from RNAcentral. Lineage: Bacteria; Bacillati; Bacillota; Clostridia; Peptostreptococcales; Peptostreptococcaceae.
UUAAAGGCUAUGAUGAAGACAGUAGAUUCAGGAUUUUAUUUUUACAGAGAACUGGGUUAGCUGAGAACCAGCAAAAUAUACUGAAUUGAAUAUCACUUCGGAGCUGAAGGCUGAAAGAUUUAUCCUAUUUGGAUUUAUCAAAUAAGUUAUUCCGGUAAUGUGCCGUUAUACAGUAGAGUGUCGUAUAGAUAAAUUUAAAAAAAUAUCUAUGCGGAAUUAGGGUGGUAACGCGAGCAACUCGUCCCUUUG